UGUCUAAUAUAAAGUGAGAAGCAGCCUUCAGGUUUAUAUAGACAAUUCACACCAAUCUCAAAACCCAGGGCUUGUAGUCAGUCUGCAACGCCAUCCCUGGUCAGUGUGACAUGAGUGUGGAGGAGUCUACUGAUUAAUUGCUCCGGCUAAUAUUCCCGAAGUAGUUGAUGCGACAAAGCAACGACAAAUGUCUACUUUUGUCGUGUUUAUGAGGGCCCAUAUAAUUUACCCUGACAGAGAUGACAGUGCCGCCACUGACACAACCUCCGGACACAACUCUUCCCAGCCCCUGAGAGGGAAGACAGUGCAGGGUA
Molecule: long non-coding RNA, 314 nt
Organism: Haliotis rubra (blacklip abalone)
Lineage: Eukaryota; Metazoa; Mollusca; Gastropoda; Lepetellida; Haliotidae
Exons: 3
Source: RefSeq, a predicted model, not a curated record